Molecule: transfer RNA, 77 nt
Filed under: Rickettsiales bacterium
Lineage: Bacteria; Pseudomonadati; Pseudomonadota; Alphaproteobacteria; Rickettsiales
Description: tRNA-Ile
Rfam family: tRNA
About the family: Transfer RNA (tRNA) molecules are approximately 80 nucleotides in length.
Source: RNAcentral
GGGUCUGUAGCUCAGGUGGUUAGAGCGCACGCCUGAUAAGCGUGAGGUCGGAGGUUCAACUCUUUCCAGGCCCACCA